AGUGAACGCUGGCGGCAGGCCUAAUACAUGCAAGUCGAACGGCAGCACAGCAGAGCUUGCUCUGUGGGUGGCGAGUGGCGGACGGGUGAGGAAUACAUGGGAAUCUGCCCAGUCGUGGGGGAUAACGUAUGGAAACGUACGCUAAUACCGCAUGCGCCCUACGGGGGAAAGCCGGGGACCGAAAGGCCUGGCGCGAUUGGAUGAGCCCAUGUUCGAUUAGCUAGUUGGCGGGGUAAAGGCCCACCAAGGCGACGAUCGAUAGCUGGUCUGAGAGGAUGAUCAGCCACACUGGAACUGAGACACGGGUCCAGACUCCUACGGGAGGCAGCAGUAGGGAAUAUUGGACAAUGGGGGCAACCCUGAUCCAGCCAUGCCGCGUGAGUGAAGAAGGCCCUCGGGUUGUAAAGCUCUUUUGUCCGGAAAGAAAAGCAUUCGGUUAAUACCCGGGUGUUCUGACGGUACCGGAAGAAUAAGCACCGGCUAACUUCGUGCCAGCAGCCG
Molecule: ribosomal RNA, 501 nt
Filed under: uncultured bacterium
Lineage: Bacteria
Description: bacterial SSU rRNA
Rfam family: Bacterial small subunit ribosomal RNA
Source: RNAcentral